UACAGAGGGGGCAAGCGUUAUUCGGAAUUAUUGGGCGUAAAGGGCGCGUAGGCGGCUUCGCAAGUGACGGGUGAAAUCCCUCGGCUUAACCGAGGAACUGCCUGUCAAACUGCGUGGCUUGAGACCAGGAGAGGUGAGUGGAAUUCCCGGUGUAGCGGUGAAAUGCGCAGAUAUCGGGAGGAACACCAAUGGCGAAGGCAGCUCGCUGGGACGUUACUGACGCUGAGACGCGAAAGCGUGGGGAGCAAACAGG
Molecule: ribosomal RNA, 253 nt
Filed under: uncultured bacterium
Lineage: Bacteria
Description: partial 16S ribosomal RNA
Rfam family: Bacterial small subunit ribosomal RNA
Source: RNAcentral